CCCUUAGAUGUUCUGGGCUGCACGCGUGCUACACUGAUUAUUUCAACAAGUGUUUUAACUGGAGAGUUCGCGUAAUCCUGAAAUGUUAUCGUGAUGGGAGUAGAGUAUUGUAUUUGUUAAUCUUUAACGAGGAAUUCCUAGCAAGUGUAGGUUUAUAAGUUGUUCUGAUUACGUCCCUGCCCUUUGUACACACCGCCCGUCGCUCCUACCGAUUGAUUGAUCCGGUGAAUUACAUAGAAUUUUGCGUUUUACAUGACGGAAGACGAAGUGUUUUAAACCUUAUCAUUUAGAGGAAGGAGAAGUCGUAAC
This 309-nucleotide ribosomal RNA is filed under the name uncultured eukaryote. Its description in RNAcentral is "partial 18S ribosomal RNA". It matches the Rfam family "Eukaryotic small subunit ribosomal RNA", at positions 1470 to 1795 of the family's 1831-position model. The record is from RNAcentral.